AGAGUUUGAUCCUGGCUCAGGAUGAACGCUAGCUACAGGCUUAACACAUGCAAGUCGAGGGGAAACGACAUCGAAAGCUUGCUUUUGAUGGGCGUCGACCGGCGCACGGGUGAGUAACGCGUAUCCAACCUGCCCACCACUUGGGGAUAACCUUGCGAAAGUAAGACUAAUACCCAAUGACGUCUCUAGAAGACAUCUGAAGGAGAUUAAAGAUUUAUCGGUGAUGGAUGGGGAUGCGUCUGAUUAGCUUGUUGGCGGGGUAACGGCCACCAAGGCGACGAUCAGUAGGGGUUCUGAGAGGAAGGUCCCCCACAUUGGAACUGAGACACGGUCCAAACGUCCUACGGGAGGGCAA
RNAcentral lists this ribosomal RNA (355 nucleotides) under uncultured bacterium. RNAcentral's name for it is "bacterial SSU rRNA". It matches the Rfam family "Bacterial small subunit ribosomal RNA", at positions 8 to 351 of the family's 1533-position model. The record is from RNAcentral.